GGGAGUGACCGGUUUCGACAGGUUAGCUUCCCUUAACUUGCAUACCGUGGCUGUCCAUAGCCACGCAAAUAGUAUGGACACCAUAAUAAGUGCAAACUUGUUAUCCAAAGUAAAAGCCAGCGUUGCCAACUUGGCAAACGUCUUUGCUUUUGCUCCGGCAAUGGCCUAGUUCCCCGUCCGAAGCUCUUCGGAGCGUAGGCGCGAGACGGUCGUUACCCAUCGAACGCAUAAGACUUCGUAGUGCGACCUCGGUGUAACCCACGAAGUGUAGCGAUACAGCUGAGCUUACAGACUGGCUCGUGAAACCCCUUAAGCUAGGUUGCUGGCAUUUUGUUCACUUUCAGACCAGCAAUUGAAAUACCAAAGUGAACUGUGUAUGGAGAUAGUUAAGGUUAUCUUUCUUGGACGCGAGUUCAACUCUCGCCACUUCCACUU
RNAcentral lists this transfer-messenger RNA (435 nucleotides) under Minisyncoccia. RNAcentral describes it as "o UBA9983_A X3 Standard tmRNA". It matches the Rfam family "transfer-messenger RNA". From Rfam's summary of the family: Bacterial tmRNA, also known as 10Sa RNA or SsrA, is named for its dual tRNA and mRNA-like properties. The record is from RNAcentral. Lineage: Bacteria; Bacillati; Minisyncoccota.